GACGAACGCUGGCGGCGUGCUUAACACAUGCAAGUCGAACGGAAAGGCCCUGCUUUUGUGGGGUGCUCGAGUGGCGAACGGGUGAGUAACACGUGAGUAACCUGCCCUUGACUUUGGGAUAACUUCAGGAAACUGGGGCUAAUACCGGAUAGGAGCUCCUGCUGCAUGGUGGGGGUUGGAAAGUUUCGGCGGUUGGGGAUGGACUCGCGGCUUAUCAGCUUGUUGGUGGGGUAGUGGCUUACCAAGGCUUUGACGGGUAGCCGGCCUGAGAGGGUGUCCGGCCACAUUGGGACUGAGAUACGGCCCAGACUCCUACGGGAGGCAGCAGUGGGGAAUAUUGCACAAUGGGCGGAAGCCUGAUGCAGCAACGCCGCGUGCGGGAUGACGGCCUUCGGGUUGUAACCCGCUUCCGCCUGUGACGAAGCGUGAGUGACGGUAAUGGGUAAAGAAGCACCGGCUAACUACGUG
Molecule: ribosomal RNA, 468 nt
Filed under: uncultured bacterium
Lineage: Bacteria
Description: partial 16S ribosomal RNA
Rfam family: Bacterial small subunit ribosomal RNA
Source: RNAcentral